GACGAACGCUGGCGGCGUGCUUAACACAUGCAAGUCGAACGGUAAGGCCCUUCGGGGUACACGAGUGGCGAACGGGUGCGUAACACGUGGGUGAUCUGCCCUGCACUUCGGGAUAAGCCUGGGAAACUGGGUCUAAUACCGGAUAGGACCACUGCCUGCAUGGGUUGUGGUGGAAAGCUUUUGCGGUGUGGGAUGGGCCGGCGGGCUAUCAGCUUGUUGGUGGGGUGAUGGCCUACCAAGGCGACGACGGGUAGCCGGCCGGAGAGGGUGACCGGCCACACUGGGACGGAGAUACGGCCCAGACUCCUACGGGAGGCAGCAGUGGGGAAUAUUGCACAAUGGGGGCAAGCCUGAUGCAGCGACGCCGCGUGAGGGACGACGGCCUUCGGGUUGUAAACCUCUUGCAGCACCGACGAAGCGCAAGUGACGGUAGGUGCAGAAGAAGGACCGGCCAACUACGUGCCAGCCGCCGCCGUAA
RNAcentral lists this ribosomal RNA (478 nucleotides) under uncultured bacterium. Its description in RNAcentral is "partial 16S ribosomal RNA". It matches the Rfam family "Bacterial small subunit ribosomal RNA", at positions 28 to 523 of the family's 1533-position model. The record is from RNAcentral.